GACGAACGCUGGCGGCGUGCUUAACACAUGCAAGUCGAACGGAAAGGCCCUGCUUUUGUGGGGUGCUCGAGUGGCGAACGGGUGAGUAACACGUGAGUAACCUGCCCUUGACUUUGGGAUAACUUCAGGAAACUGGGGCCAAUACCGGAUAGGAGCUCCUGCUGCAUGGUGGGGGUUGGAAAGUUUCGGCGGUUGGGGAUGGACUCGCGGCUUAUCAGCUUGUUGGUGGGGUAGUGGCUUACCAAGGCUUUGACGGGUAGCCGGCCUGAGAGGGUGACCGGCCACAUUGGGACUGAGAUACGGCCCAGACUCCUACGGGAGGCAGCAGUGGGGAAUAUUGCACAAUGGGCGGAAGCCUGAUGCAGCAGCGCCGCGUGCGGGAUGACGGCCUUCGGGUUGUAAACCGCUUUCGCCUGUGACGAAGCGUGAGUGACGGUAAUGGGUAAAGAAGCACCGGCUAACUACGUG
Molecule: ribosomal RNA, 468 nt
Filed under: uncultured bacterium
Lineage: Bacteria
Description: partial 16S ribosomal RNA
Rfam family: Bacterial small subunit ribosomal RNA
Source: RNAcentral